ACCCGUGUAGCUCAGUGAAUAGAGCAUCGGCCUGCGGACUGAAGGAUCCUGGGUUCGAUUCCUGUCAAGGGUA
Molecule: transfer RNA, 73 nt
Filed under: Myotis davidii
Lineage: Eukaryota; Metazoa; Chordata; Mammalia; Chiroptera; Vespertilionidae
Rfam family: tRNA
About the family: Transfer RNA (tRNA) molecules are approximately 80 nucleotides in length. Their secondary structure includes four short double-helical elements and three loops (D, anti-codon, and T loops). Further hydrogen bonds mediate the characteristic L-shaped molecular structure. tRNAs have two regions of fundamental functional importance: the anti-codon, which is responsible for specific mRNA codon recognition, and the 3' end, to which the tRNAs corresponding amino acid is attached (by aminoacyl-tRNA synthetases). tRNAs cope with the degeneracy of the genetic code in two manners: having more than one tRNA (with a specific anti-codon) for a particular amino acid; and 'wobble' base-pairing, i.e. permitting non-standard base-pairing at the 3rd anti-codon position.
Source: Rfam by way of RNAcentral